Molecule: ribosomal RNA, 775 nt
Filed under: uncultured Neocallimastigales
Lineage: Eukaryota; Fungi; Neocallimastigomycota; Neocallimastigomycetes; Neocallimastigales
Description: partial large subunit ribosomal RNA
Rfam family: Eukaryotic large subunit ribosomal RNA
Source: RNAcentral
CGCAUCUGUGCAUGCAGCAUAUCAAUAAGCGGAGGAAAAGAAACUAACAAGGAUUCCCUUAGUAACGGCGAGUGAAGCGGGAAGAGCUCAAAUUUGAAAUCUUCAAGGUUUUACCUUGACGAAUUGUAGUUUAAAGAAGUGUUUUCUGUUGAAGUUUUGGUAAAAGUUCUUUGGAAUAGGACAUCAUAGAGGGUGAGAAUCCCGUAUUUGACCAUUAUUUUCAGCUGUGUGAUACACUUUCAAAGAGUCGGAUUGUUUGGGAAUGCAGUCCAAAAUGGGUGGUAAAUUUCAUCUAAAGCUAAAUAGUUGGCGAGAGACCGAUAGCGAACAAGUACCGUGAGGGAAAGAUGAAAAGAACUUUGAAAAGAGAGUUAAACAGUACGUGAAAUUGUCAAAAGGGAAGCGUUUGACACCAGUGUUGUUUUCUCGAAAAUCAAUUAAAAAGAGUUUGAUUUUGUUGUGUAUUGACCUUAACAGCUUGCAUUUCAAUUUUCUUGCUUUUUUUAAUGCACUUUUCGUUUAACAAGUCAACAUCAGUUUCUUUUGUUGUAAAAAGGUCAUUGGAAGGUGGCUUUCUUUUCGGAGAAAGUGUUUAUAGCCUUUGACUCCUGCAAUCGGAGAGACUGAGGUCUGCAGCGUAGAUCCUUCGGGGUUAGAUACAUUUGUGCUAAGUUAUAGCUUUUUAUAGACAACUUGUUGACUAUGAUUAGUCUUGUAGCUUACUCGCUUAUGCUAUUUUACCUACGCUUAGGAUGUUGACACACGCGCGUGCUCG